This 1586-nucleotide long non-coding RNA is filed under the name Nicotiana benthamiana. RNAcentral describes it as "long non-coding RNA (NBEN_LNC022385)". The record is from RNAcentral. Lineage: Eukaryota; Viridiplantae; Streptophyta; Magnoliopsida; Solanales; Solanaceae.
ACUUGUUGACAAAUUCAAAAAGCACUUUGUGCUCUGGCCUCAUUUCACUCUUCUGGAUUUCCCUUGCCUCUAGCACCUCUUCAGCAGUGUUGGUGUCACAGAAAUUCCUUGUCAUUUGCAGCUCAUAAGGCAACCCAUCCAAGCAAGGCCACCUCUGCCUGGCAUAAUCAUCAAACCCCUCACAAGCAAUACCUAGAAUUUUUCCCAAUUUUUCAGCAUUGAAUUUCACUUUGACACCCCUCACUUUACUGGUUACCUGACUAUUCUUCACUUUUCCAUUGGCCAUGAACUCCACUAGUUCCUUCCUUGCCAAUUUUCCGUCAAUCUGAAGGACCAUGUCCUUUCAGCCUUGUGUCGCCAGUGCUGUGACAAGCCUUAUCAUGCCUGGCUCCUCCAUGUCUUUCAGCAAUCUCUCCUUCAAUAUCUUUCUUUUGUCAAAGUCUGCAUACCUAUCAUGUUCUUCUUCAGACUCAAUUUCAUCUUCUUCUUCUUCUAUGGCUGCUCUCACUUGUUUUCUCUUAGAUGCUAAUCUUGUUCUCUUGGGAAGAGAGGAUUCAAAAGGAACUGGUUUUAAGGGCUUCUUUGAAGAAGUCCUAGUCUCAUUUGGUUUUGCAACCUGCACAGUAGUAUUUCUUUCUUGAUGGACCAGUUCCAUCUCCUCUUCAUCCUCUUCAGCUGGAACUUCUGAACUCACACAUAUCUUCCCUUUCCCUUUUUCUUUUCUUUUUAUCUUACUCUCCUAUAAAGCUUUCUGCAACUCAGCUUCGCUCUCCCUAACCUUGCUUCUAGUUGUCCUAACCCUAGGAACAGACUUGGGUGUUGAAGGUUUGGACUUCUUGGUUGGUUUGGACGCAACAGAGGUCCUUUGUGAGGAAGCCUUGUGUUUCUUGGGAUCAUAACUUGCCCCAACCUUCUUCAUCAUCUCAAAUAGAGUUCCCUCUGCAGAUAGACCAGGUUCAACAGUUAGUUUGCUCAAACCAAACCUUCAGCAGCCUCUUCAGACUCACUUCCCCCUGACUUUGAGGCCCCUUUUUCCUACCUCCUACAUAUAGCUAGCACCUUCUUCGUCUUAUUUUUCUUCAAUUUCAUAGAGUCACCCAUGGAAACAUCUUUAGCAGCCCCUAUCAGAAUAUACCUAUUUUCUACCCUUUCCCUUAAGUCAUCGGAAACAACACUUGGAUUUACCUCUUUUGGGGUUUCUUGUUGAGUGACAUUGUCAGAAGGCCUAGGUUCAUCUCCUUCACUGACAGAGAUGUAAUCAUCAGACUCAAAACUGGAAUCAGUUUCUUUUGCUGGAGAUUCUUUCUUUUGACUUGCCUUCAAUCUUUUCUUUAGAGCUUUCCUCAAGGGACCAGUCGCAACAGCUUUUCUUCCUAUCAUUUUUGUGCGACAAAAUCUGGGCUUUGGGGUCUCACUAGGAUGAGGUGGUGUUAGGUGACACUGGUGGUGUGGUUGUAGGAUUAUCUUGGGGAUUCGACAUUUUGGUGAAGAAUUUCUAUAAGGCUUGAGAGAAUUUUGGACAAUUUUUGAGGGUUUGGAGAAGAGAGUGGAUGAUCGGGGUUUUGAUAUGAUGGAUAAGAAUGAUU